This 253-nucleotide ribosomal RNA is filed under the name uncultured bacterium. RNAcentral describes it as "partial 16S ribosomal RNA". It matches the Rfam family "Bacterial small subunit ribosomal RNA", at positions 524 to 776 of the family's 1533-position model. The record is from RNAcentral.
UACGUAGGGGGCAAGCGUUGUCCGGAAUCAUUGGGCGUAAAGCGCGCGUAGGCGGCCCGGUAAGUCCGCUGUGAAAGUCCAAGGCUCAACCUUGGAAUGCCGGUGGAUACUGUCGGGCUAGAGUCCGGAAGAGGCGAGUGGAAUUCCUGGUGUAGCGGUGGAAUGCGCAGAUAUCAGGAGGAACACCUAUGGCGAAGGCAGCUCGCUGGGACGGUACUGACGCUGAGGCGCGAAAGCGUGGGGAGCGAACAGG